GGGAAGUAGUCAUAUGUCCAGAUCAUGCAGGACCCUGAAGAAAACAGAAAGGGCUCUUCAUUCUGUUAUUUUCAGUAAGAUGGAAGAGAAUUUGGGGGUUAAAGGUGAGGACUGGCAUGGCCUAAAGUGUGUUUUAAUAGGAUCACUGUGACUUCUGUGAUAAAAGCAGACUGCAAGGACAGAAGCUGAAGCAGGAGGGGCUGGUUCCUGAUUUUUAUUUUAUGAGCUCAGGAUGAUGAAUCUGAUCCUAAAAUCUGAGACACACGUCUUGAAAUUGGGGCUAUCUCAGAAAAUAGAGAAACACGUCAAUGUGAGGAAUGACUGGGCCAGCAUCUCAGGAAAUGACCUCUGGUUUGUAAUCCACAUGGACAAUUUCCCUGUAGCACAUCAAAGCCCUGAGUCAGCUUGUCCUAUAGAUCUGCUCCCCCUACAUAUAGCUUAGAUCUCCACAGUCUUGUCACUUCCUUCCUCUGUCCACAUUUCACCCCGACAUGACAAUGCCAGAAGUAAAGUAUUUGAGUCAGAGUCAAGCUGGAGAAUGACGCAGUGUAGGCUAGGCAUGGCAUCCCAGUUGCUUCUGCAUCAGAUAGCUAGCCCUAUCUUCACCUUGUUGGGUAAAACUAAACCAGCCAGCACAAAUCUCUGUCCAGUGCAUCUUUAAAGAUUCUCCCAAUGUCAAACAUUAUUUAAAGAAAGAAAUUUGUGACCCUGCUGGAUGGCACUGGCCUGAGGUGGUUUGCUAUGAACUCACUAUGUGACCUUAGAUAAAAAGUCUCCCUGUUCUAGACCUCAGUUUCCUUGCCUAUUUAAUGAGAUGCCUUGAUUCACUUUCUAAUGUUUAUUGAGUUUCCACUCUGGGGCACAAAGGUGCACAAGACAGACAUACCCCUUGCCAUAGUGGAGCUUACAAUUUAGUGGAAUAGACAGAUAGCAUUUUAAAAAGCAAAUCUAAAGUAGUGUGGAAGUAUUCCACAGAGGAGAAAUUAUAGGGAUUCCACUGAAACCAAAGGAGGGGCAGCUAGGCCAGACUCAGGGAGUCAAGGAACAUCUUGGCACCAGUAAUAUCUGUGAUGGUUAAUACGGAGCAUCAACUUUAUUGGAUUGAGGGAUGCAAAGUGUUGUUCCUGGGUGUGUCUGUGAGGGCGUUGCCAAAGGAGAUUAACAUUUGAGUCAGUGGACUGUGAAAGGCAGAUCCACCAUCAAUCCGGGUGGGCAUAAUCUAAUCAGCUGCCAGCGCAGCCAGGAUAAAAGCAGGCAGAUGAAGGUGAAAAAAAACUAGACAGGCUUAGUCUCCUGGCCUACAUCUUUCUCCCAUGAUGGAUGCUUUAUGCCCUCGAACAUCGAACUCCAAGUUCUUCAGCUUUGGGACUCUUGGACCUUUGACUGCAGAAUGAAGGCUGCACUAUUGGCUUCCCUACUUUUGAGGUUUGGGGACUCAGACUGGCUUCCUUGCUCCUCAGCUUGCAGAUGGCCUAUUGUGGGACCUCACCUUGUGAUUGUCUGACACAUUGAAUUUGUGAAGAGAGGAGGGGAAGAGGAGAUAGGUGGAGAAAACUGCUUCUUAGGAGUGAUUACAGCCACAGAGAGACUUGAAGAGACAUCUUUGGACCCCAUAUUUCUUUUGCCACCAGUGACUUCCAAAUCAAAUGAGUCCAAUCUGCAGAUCAAAAUGAGAUUUUUCUUAUUGACUUCCCUGAAAGCUUAGCCGGCUCUCUGCAAAUCGAGUCAUGUGUAUCCUGCAUCCUCAUCAACCAUUGCCGAUUGCAGGGAUGUCGGAACUGGGCCAAGAUUGGCAAAUAUGUCACUGAUGCAUGAGGCUAGGGAAAAUCCAGCUCUUAUUGGCCUGGCAGUGCUGACCUGGUUUGUCCGUAAAUGAAGAGCAAAUGCAAUUUGCAAAACACAUAGAACUGAUAAGGGAUUACAACAAGGCGGGAUUCAAGCUGCUUUUCAAAGAGCAGGCCCUCUUGAAAAGGGGACAAAGCCGAUUUCAAGAUUGAAAUCGGACAGUGUUUCUUAAAGUGUGCUCUGUAUGCCAUCUUUAUCAUAGUUACCUGGAGUUUAUUUUAAAAAUAUGUAUCUGGGUCUAACCCCAGGCCAGUUGAAUUAGAGAGUCUGGGGGUAGGGCACGGGAAAACUCCACAUUUAACAAGCCCCCGAGUGAUUCGUGUGCACAUUAAAGUCUAAGAUGUCCUUGAAGAAGGAAAGUUUUUCCACUUGGGUAUUGGAAAAAACACUGAAUUUGGAGUCAGCCCACUUGAUCCUUCACACGGACUCUGCUGUUAACUGGCUGGAUGACCUCGUAGUGAAGGGGAAAGGAAACGGGAUGUGAAAUCAGAAGCAGGCAUAGGCCUACCUCUCACAGAAGAGCUGUGUAAUGACAGUUAAUAGCUAAGCUAAGUCUCACCCUCACCACCCGAAAAUGCAGAGCUGGGCUCAGGUGACCUUGAAAGGUGUGGUAGCUCUGACGGUCUAUUUCUUUAAAUCACCUAACAUCAGUUUCUUCAUCUGAAAAAUGGGAAGUUUAUGUUCUGUUUUGGCUAUGCUUUUUGGGGGAUUCAAUAAAACAAUGUACAUACAUUUAAAAA
Symphalangus syndactylus (siamang) is the source of this 2585-nucleotide long non-coding RNA. RefSeq lists it as uncharacterized. The record is from RefSeq and is a predicted model, not a curated record. NCBI's taxonomy places the organism in Eukaryota, Metazoa, Chordata, Mammalia, Primates, Hylobatidae.